AAGACCCUAGUAAAAGAGCUAUUACGCUGCUUUGUCAAAGCAGCAUUGUGGGUUGAAGCCCCGCGAGUCUUA
Molecule: transfer RNA, 72 nt
Filed under: Centropyge flavissima (lemonpeel angelfish)
Lineage: Eukaryota; Metazoa; Chordata; Actinopteri; Pomacanthidae
Description: tRNA-Asp
Rfam family: tRNA
About the family: Transfer RNA (tRNA) molecules are approximately 80 nucleotides in length. Their secondary structure includes four short double-helical elements and three loops (D, anti-codon, and T loops).
Source: RNAcentral